This 1043-nucleotide long non-coding RNA is filed under the name Homo sapiens (human). RNAcentral describes it as "HSALNT0234641". The record is from RNAcentral. Lineage: Eukaryota; Metazoa; Chordata; Mammalia; Primates; Hominidae.
GCAGGUGACGCAGGGCCUAAAAUCUGGGCUGCAGGUUAGCUGUGGAUGGUGGUGGCCCAUGCUCAGGCUGUCCCCAUGACAACAGACCAUCAAGGAUGGGCUGUGUGAAGAGGAGCCGAUCCUGAUUUUGAUUCUCACAGGCAUUUGCUAAGAGCAGGGGAGUGGAGAGAGGGCGGGACAGUGGAGACAGGGGGAUCUCUGCCCCGCUCCUGGGAGCUCGGUGACUCCUGGACCUGAGACGAGCUUUAAAAAUGCAAAGGUGAAGCUAAGUGAGGGCUUGAGGGCUGCCCGGCCGGCCCAACCUGGGGUCAACGGGGCUGCCCAGGCGCCUGAAAGCUGGGGCCCAGCUCAGCCAGGGCUCGAGUUCUGGGCUCAAGCUCCCAUGGCGCAGGAACCCCCUGUGGGAGGAAGCUUCCAGAGCCAUAGGGCUCACAGAGGCCACAGUCCCCAUGUGGAUUCGUGCCCAGCCCCCUUCCGAGGCGCCUGGUUGGCUUCGUACCUGGCCACUGACUUGUCCAGUCACUGUGUGUCUGCUGCAUAGCUGAUCCCAUGGUGAAGGCCGAAGAGGCCCUGGCGAGAAAGAUGAAUGAAGGACAGAAAAGCCAGCCAGGACUGCUGAGCCCUGCAAAAGGCAAAUCGCUUUCAGUGGCUCAACUUGUGGGGAGAGACGGAAGCUUUUCUCCCUGGCCUGAGUGCAGUGACUAUGAUCUGCUUGGUUUUCUUGCUGGACAGAGCCGUUUGAACAACAAAUGCAAAAAGCCUGGAUCUCUCCACCGCAGUGUCUAUUUUUGCAAACCUGCUUGGUGCCCCUGCUAUUAGCUGCAUGCACAUGUUUCCCGGCUCCAGCCACAUGCCCGUAAGCACUUAAUUGUGGGUGCAGUUAGUCAAGGCGGGCGGCUCUCUGCAGAUUUCAGGGGUGAGGGAACCUAAUUACACCUGCAAUUGAGUGCUUUAGCAGGGACAAAAGCUGCCUGUUCAGCUAAUUGCAGGCACCAAAAUUGCCCCCACAGAAAGAAUCCCUGGUACAGGCUUUUCGAGCCAAG